This 82-nucleotide small nucleolar RNA is filed under the name Theobroma cacao (cacao). RNAcentral's name for it is "Small nucleolar RNA SNORD34". It matches the Rfam family "Small nucleolar RNA SNORD34". Rfam says of the family: snoRNA U34 is found in intron 5 of the ribosomal protein L13a gene in humans. U34 is a member of the C/D class of snoRNA which contain C (UGAUGA) and D (CUGA) box motifs, and functions in directing site-specific 2'-O-methylation of 25S rRNAs. The record is from Rfam by way of RNAcentral. Lineage: Eukaryota; Viridiplantae; Streptophyta; Magnoliopsida; Malvales; Malvaceae.
GAAGGCCUAUGAUGAUUAAGAAUUGCCUACAUUGUCAGAUAUUCACUCUGAUGACAAUGAAAGUAACAAAUCUGAGGUCUAG